GAAUUCACUAGUGAUUAGGCCUAACACAUGCAAGUCGAACGGUAACAGGUCUUCGGACGCUGACGAGUGGCGAACGGGUGAGUAAUGCAUCGGAACGUGCCCAGUCGUGGGGGAUAACUGCUCGAAAGAGCAGCUAAUACCGCAUACGACCCGAGGGUGAAAGCGGGGGACCGUAAGGCCUCGCGCGAUUGGAGCGGCCGAUGUCAGAUUAGCUAGUUGGUGGGGUAAAGGCCUACCAAGGCAACGAUCUGUAGUUGGUCUGAGAGGACGACCAGCCACACUGGGACUGAGACACGGCCCAGACUCCUACGGGAGGCAGCAGUGGGGAAUUUUGGACAAUGGGCGCAAGCCUGAUCCAGCAAGGGCGCGUGCAGGAAGAAGGCCUUCGGG
RNAcentral lists this ribosomal RNA (390 nucleotides) under uncultured bacterium. RNAcentral describes it as "bacterial SSU rRNA". It matches the Rfam family "Bacterial small subunit ribosomal RNA", at positions 34 to 422 of the family's 1533-position model. The record is from RNAcentral.